Molecule: ribosomal RNA, 411 nt
Filed under: uncultured Sphingomonas sp.
Lineage: Bacteria; Pseudomonadati; Pseudomonadota; Alphaproteobacteria; Sphingomonadales; Sphingomonadaceae
Description: bacterial SSU rRNA
Rfam family: Bacterial small subunit ribosomal RNA
Source: RNAcentral
AGGCUUCGGCCUUAGUGGCGCACGGGUGCGUAACGCGUGGGAAUCUGCCCUUGGGUUCGGAAUAACAGUUAGAAAUGACUGCUAAUACCGGAUGAUGACGAAAGUCCAAAGAUUUAUCGCCCAGGGAUGAGCCCGCGUAGGAUUAGGUAGUUGGUGGGGUAAAGGCUCACCAAGCCGACGAUCCUUAGCUGGUCUGAGAGGAUGAUCAGCCACACUGGGACUGAGACACGGCCCAGACUCCUACGGGAGGCAGCAGUGGGGAAUAUUGGACAAUGGGCGCAAGCCUGAUCCAGCAAUGCCGCGUGAGUGAUGAAGGCCUUAGGGUCGUAAAGCUCUUUUACCAGGGAUGAUAAUGACAGUACCUGGAGAAUAAGCUCCGGCUAACUCCGUGCCAUCAGCCCGCGGUAAUAC